AGUACGACUGCCGUCUUAGGACUUGAUGAAGCCAGCCUUUCCUUCAGGAUAACGAUGUGGAACGGCAGAUCAUCCCGGGCUGCAAGCAGGCGUGCAGGAGGAGCAGGACACCGGAGCAAACUUGGCUCGAUGGACUGAGGCAGUAUGCGAAUUUAGGAGAAGAUGAGCUUACUUUCUCUUCAGAUUAUGUAUUUUACACCCUAUAAAGCUUUAGGAACAAAUAAGCAAUCAGCGGGAUAAAAUGACUGCACCAGCAGACAAGGAAGGCUGAAGCAGCAGCUGCUCGGGAGCCACCCGCACCCUUCUCAGCACAGGCAUGAACACACUCCUGUCUUACAAGCUCCAUUUUGGCUACAAGCACAGCCCUGUACUCCUUUCCUAGAAAGUAAGUACUCUUAUUCUUUCCACACAUAUUUACCUCUCAAGCUUUCUUAA
RNAcentral lists this long non-coding RNA (435 nucleotides) under Cyanistes caeruleus (blue tit). Its description in RNAcentral is "lncRNA (ENSCCEG00000000633.1)". The record is from RNAcentral. Lineage: Eukaryota; Metazoa; Chordata; Aves; Passeriformes; Paridae.